UCAAGUGAUUCAGCCAAGGAUGACUUGCCGGCAAAACCAUUUAACUCUUUUUUUCUAAUUUCAAUUUUUUUUUUACUUCUCUAUUCUCGAGUUCAGUCGAUUAAAAUUCGAACUUCAAACAUCUAUUGAAGAUAUAUAAUAAUUUAACUAAUUGAAUUACAUUAAGAAUAGUCAACAAGUUGUACUAAAAAAAAUUAAUCGAGGAAAUGUAUGUAUAUAGUAAUGUUUUUUUGAACUUUUAUUUUGUUUACUUUUGGUCGGCAAGGCGUCUUUGGCUAUAUAACUUCC
Molecule: microRNA precursor, 288 nt
Filed under: Cucumis melo (muskmelon)
Lineage: Eukaryota; Viridiplantae; Streptophyta; Magnoliopsida; Cucurbitales; Cucurbitaceae
Source: RNAcentral